UCCGGUUUACCACCGGCAGUCUCCCUAGAGUGCUCAACUUUAAAUGGUAGCAACUAAGGACGAGGGUUGCGCUCGUUGCGGGACUUAACCCAACAUCUCACGACACGAGCUGACGACAGCCAUGCAGCACCUGUGCACGAUCUCCGAAGAGGGGCUCUCGUUUCUGAGAGCUUUCCCCAAGAUGUCAAGCCCAGGUAAGGUUCUUCGCGUUGCGUCGAAUUAAACCACAUGCUCCACCGCUUGUGCGGGCCCCCGUCAAUUCCUUUGAGUUUCAACCUUGCGGUCGUACUCCCCAGGCGGGGUACUUCCUGCGUUAGCGCCGGCACCCAGAGGGUCGCUCCCCCAGGCACCUAGUACCCAUCGUUUACGGCGUGGACUAC
Molecule: unclassified non-coding RNA, 380 nt
Filed under: uncultured Gemmatimonadaceae bacterium
Lineage: Bacteria; Pseudomonadati; Gemmatimonadota; Gemmatimonadia; Gemmatimonadales; Gemmatimonadaceae
Description: contains 16S-23S intergenic spacer region
Source: RNAcentral